RNAcentral lists this ribosomal RNA (449 nucleotides) under uncultured bacterium. Its description in RNAcentral is "partial 16S ribosomal RNA". It matches the Rfam family "Bacterial small subunit ribosomal RNA", at positions 29 to 523 of the family's 1533-position model. The record is from RNAcentral.
AACGAACGCUGGCGGCAUGCCUAACACAUGCAAGUCGAACGAACCCUUCGGGGUGAGUGGCGCACGGGUGCGUAACACGUGGGAACCUGCCCUUAGGUUCGGAAUAACACAGAGAAAUUUGUGCUAAUACCGGAUAAUGUCUUCGGACCAAAGAUUUAUCGCCUUUGGAUGGGCCCGCGUAGGAUUAGCUAGUUGGUGAGGUAAAGGCUCACCAAGGCGACGAUCCUUAGCUGGUCUUAGAGGAUGAUCAGCCACACUGGGACUGAGACACGGCCCAGACUCCUACGGGAGGCAGCAGUGGGGAAUAUUGGACAAUGGGCGAAAGCCUGAUCCAGCAAUGCCGCGUGAGUGAUGAAGGCCUUAGGGUUGUAAAGCUCUUUUACUGGGGAUGAUAAUGACAGUACCCAGAGAAUAAGCCCCGGCUAACUCCGUGCCAGCCGCCGCGGUAA